RNAcentral lists this unclassified non-coding RNA (337 nucleotides) under soil metagenome. RNAcentral's name for it is "partial contains 5.8S ribosomal RNA, internal transcribed spacer 2, and large subunit ribosomal RNA". The stretch from base 1 to 120 matches the Rfam family "5.8S ribosomal RNA", at positions 35 to 154 of the family's 154-position model. The record is from RNAcentral.
GAUGAAGAACGUAGCGAAAUGCGAUAAGUAAUGUGAAUUGCAGAAUUCAGUGAAUCAUCGAAUCUUUGAACGCACAUUGCGCCCAUUAGUAUUCUAGUGGGCAUGCCUGUUCGAGCGUCAUUUCAACCCUCAAGCUCUGCUUGGUGUUGGGGCUUCUGCAGCUGCGGCUGCAGGCCCUGAAAAUCAGUGGCGGGCUCGCUAUCACACCGAGUGCAGUAGUUUACUCUUCGCUCAGGACGUGUAGCGGGUUCCGGCCGUGAAACCCCCCAAUUUUCAAGGUUGACCUCGGAUCAGGUAGGAAUACCCGCUGAACUUAAGCAUAUCAAUAAGCGGAGGA